This 351-nucleotide ribosomal RNA is filed under the name uncultured bacterium. RNAcentral's name for it is "bacterial SSU rRNA". It matches the Rfam family "Bacterial small subunit ribosomal RNA", at positions 917 to 1267 of the family's 1533-position model. The record is from RNAcentral.
GGGCCCGCACAAGCGGUGGAGUAUGUGGUUUAAUUCGAUGCAACGCGAAGAACCUUACCAGGGUUUGACAUCCUGCGAAUCUCUUGGAAACAGGAGAGUGCCUUCGGGAACUGUAAGACAGGUGCUGCAUGGCUGUCGUCAGCUCGUGUUGUGAAAUGUUGGGUUAAGUCCCGCAACGAGCGCAACCCUUAUCCUUGUUUGCCAGCGAGUAAUGUCGGGAACUCCAGGGAGACUGCCGGUGAUAAACCGGAGGAAGGUGGGGACGACGUCAAGUCAUCAUGGCCCUUACGAGUAGGGCUACACACGUGCUACAAUGGCGCAUACAGAGGGCAGCAAGCUAGCGAUAGUGAG